This 464-nucleotide ribosomal RNA is filed under the name uncultured bacterium. RNAcentral's name for it is "partial 16S ribosomal RNA". It matches the Rfam family "Bacterial small subunit ribosomal RNA", at positions 339 to 795 of the family's 1533-position model. The record is from RNAcentral.
CUACGGGAGGCAGCAGUGGGGAAUAUUGGACAAUGGGGGGAACCCUGAUCCAGCCAUGCCGCGUGUGUGAAGAAGGCCUUUUGGUUGUAAAGCACUUUAAGCAGUGAAGAAGACUCUUCGGUUAAUACCCGGGGACGAUGACAUUAGCUGCAGAAUAAGCACCGGCUAACUCUAUGCCAGCAGCCGCGGUAAUACAGAGGGUGCAAGCGUUAAUCGGAAUUACUGGGCGUAAAGCGAGCGUAGGUGGCUUGAUAAGUCAGAUGUGAAAUCCCCGGGCUUAACCUGGGAACUGCAUCUGAAACUGUUAGGCUAGAGUAGGUGAGAGGGAAGUAGAAUUUCAGGGGUAGCGGUGAAAUGCGUAGAGAUCUGAAGGAAUACCGAUGGCGAAGGCAGCUUCCUGGCAUCAUACUGACACUGAGGCUCGAAAGCGUGGGUAGCAAACAGGAUUAGAUACCCCCGUAGUC